UUUGUUCCCUAAAUAGGGACUUGUAUGAACGGCCACACGAGGGCUUUACUGUCUCUUACUUCCAAUCCGUGAAAUUGACCUUCCCGUGAAGAGGCGGGAAUAUAAUAAUAAGACGAGAAGACCCUAUGGAGCUUUAAUUAAUUGACCCAAAGAGACCCAUUAAUUUCAACCGACAGGAAUAACAAACCUCUAUAUGGGCCAACAAUUUAGGUUGGGGUGACCUCGGAGAACAGAACAACCUCCGAGUGAUUUAAAUCAAGACUAACCAGUCAAAAGUAUUACAUCACUAAUUGAUCCAAAAACUUGAUCAACGGAACAAGUUACCCUAGGGAUAACAGCGCAAUCCUAUUUUAGAGUCCAUAUCGACAAUAGGGUUUACGAC
This 382-nucleotide ribosomal RNA is filed under the name Acinonyx jubatus (cheetah). RNAcentral describes it as "partial 16S ribosomal RNA". It matches the Rfam family "Bacterial large subunit ribosomal RNA", at positions 1968 to 2524 of the family's 2925-position model. Lineage: Eukaryota; Metazoa; Chordata; Mammalia; Carnivora; Felidae. The record is from RNAcentral.